This 1002-nucleotide long non-coding RNA is filed under the name Anas platyrhynchos platyrhynchos (common mallard). Its description in RNAcentral is "lncRNA (ENSAPLG00000017097.1)". The record is from RNAcentral. Lineage: Eukaryota; Metazoa; Chordata; Aves; Anseriformes; Anatidae.
AUGCUAAAAGCCACUCGCACCACAUUUCCCAGGUCUCACAUUUGGUGGCAGAUCUGUCAGGGACCCUCCUCCCUCGCUGCUCCAGCGUGGGGGUCCGGAGUUCCCGGCUGGCCUUGUCUUGGCUGUUGCAGGCUGCAACCUGUCGUAAAGCAGCUCAGCGUUUGUGGCUCCUUCCCAGCCCAGCAGGGACGUUGGUCAGCACGAGCUGUGAGCUCAGUGCUGGUUUCCAUCCCUCCUGCUUGCGAGGCUCUCAUUAUUUCUUGCUUUGUAAAGCAAAGUGCUCCCAGACUCUUUUCACUUUGCUGCUCGUGCCAGAUGAAACCCACGGCCCGUUUUGAGAUGGAGAGCUUGGACAGGCAGCAGCCGAAACACUGCAAAGCUGUGUCGGUCUGUGAGAUCUCGCUGCCUUUCUGGUCUGCCCCAAACUCCUCCUUGCUGGGCUGGGGAGCGUGGCGGCAUGUGGUGAGGGCUGCCUGCUGCUUAUCGCACCCUGCUGCGGCCAGGAUGGGUGGCACGGCCCCACAGCCACCACGAUGCUCCUUUAUUAUUUGCAGAACAAACAGAAACCUCGCCGGUCUGGCAGCCGCGGGGAAGGCGAGCUGCCUGUGCUCACAUCUGCAGCCUCUGAGGUUCUUCAGAAGCCCCUUGGCUGAGGCCGGGCUGAAUGUAGGUGUUGGGGCAGGUUUUAUUCAUGCGAUUCUCCUUUCUGUUGUUUGCUGUUGUGGUUUUUCAAGCGUGUUUAACCCGUGUCGUUGGACCAAACCUUGGAGACUUGACCCUGGCCACCUCGUAGGACGUUCCUUUGGAGCGAGGAGGAGGGAGCUGCCGCGGCUCCUUGGGGAUGUGCUGGUUUGGGUGGCAAUGUGGGUGAAGGAGGGCCCCUGGCUGGGACCAGCCGUCGUAUCUGGUGCCCAUCCAGCUGAUGGUCAUCGGUGGGGUUUCACCGAUGGGGACCCAGCUCCAUUUCGUGACUCCUGCAGUUGCUUUGGGGCCGCAGGUUGA